GGAGUUUGGUCCGUGUCUCAGUACCAAUGUGGGGGACCUUCCUCUCAGAACCCCUACUGAUCGUCGCCUUGGUGGGCCGUUACCCCGCCAACUGGCUAAUCCAACGCGGGUCCAUCCCAUACCACCGGAGUUUUUCACACAGGGUCAUGCGACCUCGUGCGCUUAUGCGGUAUUAGCAGACAUUUCUGUCUGUUAUCCCCCGGUAUGGGGCAGGUUCCCCACGCGUUACUCACCCGUCCGCCACUAAGAUCAAACUUCUUUGACCGAAGUCUCCAAAAUAUGAUCUCCGUUCGACUUGCAUGUGUUAGGCACGCCGCCAGCGUUCAUC
Molecule: ribosomal RNA, 328 nt
Filed under: uncultured Coprococcus sp.
Lineage: Bacteria; Bacillati; Bacillota; Clostridia; Lachnospirales; Lachnospiraceae
Description: partial 16S ribosomal RNA
Source: RNAcentral